RNAcentral lists this ribosomal RNA (460 nucleotides) under uncultured bacterium. Its description in RNAcentral is "partial 16S ribosomal RNA". It matches the Rfam family "Bacterial small subunit ribosomal RNA", at positions 338 to 795 of the family's 1533-position model. The record is from RNAcentral.
CCUACGGGGGGCCGCAGUGAGGAAUAUUGGUCAAUGGACGAGAGUCUGAACCAGCCAAGUAGCGUGAAGGAUGACUGCCCUAUGGGUUGUAAACCUCUUUUAUCAAGGAAUAAAACGAGGCACGUGUGCCUUUUUGCAUGUACCUUAUGAAUAAGUAUCGGCUAACUCCGUGCAAGCAGACGCGGUAAUACGGAGGAUCCGAGCGUUAUCCGGAUUUAUUGGGUUUAAAGGGGACGUAGAUGGGUUGUUAAGUCAGUUGUGAAAGUUUGCGGCUCAACCAUAGAAUUGCAGUUGAUACUGGCAGUCUUGAGUACAGUUGAGGUAGGCGGAAUGCGUGGUGUAGCGGUGAAAUGCUUAGAUAUCACGCAGAACCCCGAUUGCGAAGGCAGCUUACUAAACUGUGACUGACAUUGAUGCUCGAAAGUGUGGGUAUCAAACAGGAUUAGAUACCCUGGUAGUC